Molecule: ribosomal RNA, 529 nt
Filed under: uncultured bacterium
Lineage: Bacteria
Description: bacterial SSU rRNA
Rfam family: Bacterial small subunit ribosomal RNA
Source: RNAcentral
GUAGCUAACGCAUUAAGCGCCCCGCCUGGGGAGUACGGCCGCAAGGCUAAAACUCAAAGGAAUUGACGGGGGCCCGCACAAGCGGCGGAGCAUGUUGGUUAAUUCGAUGCAACGGCGAAGAACCUUACCUAGGCUUGACAUAUACCGAAAACUCAUAGAGAUAUGGGGUCCGCAAGGGCGGUAUACAGGUGGUGCAUGGUUGUCGUCAGCUCGUGUCGUGAGAUGUUGGGUUAAGUCCCGCAACGAGCGCAACCCUCGUCCUAUGUUGCCAGCGCGUUAUGGCGGGGACUCAUAGGAGACUGCCGGGGUCAACUCGGAGGAAGGUGGGGAUGACGUCAAAUCAUCAUGCCCCUUAUGUCUAGGGCUGCAAACAUGCUACAAUGGUCGGUACAAAGGGCUGCGAUACCGCAAGGUGGAGCGAAUCCCAAAAAGCCGGCCUCAGUUCGGAUUGGGGUCUGCAACUCGACCCCAUGAAGUCGGAGUCGCUAGUAAUCGCAGAUCAGCAACGCUGCGGUGAAUACGUUCCCGG